GUUGAACGCUGGCGGGGGGCCUAACACAUGCAAGUCGACCGACGGCACAGUAAGUUUUUUCUCUUACGGUUGGCGCGGGCCGGGGGGGUAACCGAUGCAUACCAAACUACUAGUCCUGGGUUAAUUACGGAAACCGGCGUAAACUACGGCCAAAUAUUUCAAACGGCUGGAUCCAAAGGUAAAGCAGGUCUUGCUCGAUCUUAUUAGUCGAUCCCGGCUUAAUUAGUUAGUUGGUAAGGUAACGGCCUACCAAGGCAACGAUUCAUAGCCGGCCUGAGAGGAUGAUCAGCCACACUGGAACUGAGACACGGUCCAGACUCCUACGGGAGGCAGCAGUAGGGAAUCUUCCGCAAUGGGCGAAAGCCUGACGGAGCAACGCCGCGUGAGUGAUGAAGGUCUUCGGAUCGUAAAACUCUGUUAUUAGGGAAGAACAUAUGUGUAAGUAACUGUGCACAUCUUGACGGUACCUAAUCAGAAAGCCACGGCUAACUACGUG
This 496-nucleotide ribosomal RNA is filed under the name uncultured bacterium. Its description in RNAcentral is "partial 16S ribosomal RNA". It matches the Rfam family "Bacterial small subunit ribosomal RNA", at positions 28 to 507 of the family's 1533-position model. The record is from RNAcentral.